RNAcentral lists this transfer RNA (71 nucleotides) under Goura cristata (Western crowned-pigeon). Its description in RNAcentral is "tRNA-Gln". It matches the Rfam family "tRNA". Rfam says of the family: Transfer RNA (tRNA) molecules are approximately 80 nucleotides in length. Their secondary structure includes four short double-helical elements and three loops (D, anti-codon, and T loops). Further hydrogen bonds mediate the characteristic L-shaped molecular structure. tRNAs have two regions of fundamental functional importance: the anti-codon, which is responsible for specific mRNA codon recognition, and the 3' end, to which the tRNAs corresponding amino acid is attached (by aminoacyl-tRNA synthetases). tRNAs cope with the degeneracy of the genetic code in two manners: having more than one tRNA (with a specific anti-codon) for a particular amino acid; and 'wobble' base-pairing, i.e. permitting non-standard base-pairing at the 3rd anti-codon position. Lineage: Eukaryota; Metazoa; Chordata; Aves; Columbiformes; Columbidae. RNAcentral also lists the same sequence under 2 other names. The record is from RNAcentral.
UAGAAAAUAAUAUAAAGGAAGUAUAGGGAGUUUUGAUCUCCCCUGUGUAGGUUCGAGUCCUACUUUUCUAA